RNAcentral lists this ribosomal RNA (774 nucleotides) under Deliochus sp. FAPDNA027. RNAcentral describes it as "eukaryotic LSU rRNA". It matches the Rfam family "Eukaryotic large subunit ribosomal RNA", at positions 80 to 634 of the family's 3401-position model. Lineage: Eukaryota; Metazoa; Arthropoda; Arachnida; Araneae; Araneidae. The record is from RNAcentral.
UGAGUAACGGCGAGCGAAAGGGAAGAGCCCAGCGCCGAAUCCCGUACUCGCAAGGGUGCUGGGAAAUGUGGCGUUUAGGAGUGAGCGUGCCGGUGGUUGACUCUGCAGCAAGUCCCCCUGACCGGGGCUGUUACCCAGAGUGGGUGCGAGGCCCAUAGCUGCUAGGUCUCCGCCGGAUGCGAUCUCCUUGGAGUCGGGUUGCUUGGGAGUGCAGCCCUAAUCGGGUGGUAAACUCCACCUAAGGCUAAAUACGGCCGUGAGACCGAUAGCAAACAAGUACCGUGAGGGAAAGUUGCAAAGAACUUUGAAGAGAGAGUUCAAGAGUACGUGAAACUGCUCAGAGGCAAACGGGUGGGCCCUCGAAAUCCUGUGGCGGGAGGAUUCAGUCGGGUGGCGCGGACGUUGUGGUCGGAAUAACACAAGAAUGGAUUCCCUGACGGGACCGUUCCGACUCGGCGGUUUCGUGUCGCCCGACGCAUUUGUUUCCCGUCCGAAGGACGCCGCAACCGGUUGGGUAACGGCCUUAAGGGCGAGUGAUGGCAGGUGGCCGGUGUGUAGCCUCGUGCUGUUCGCCGGUUGUUAGCCGACUCGUCGCACGGCUCGUGACCCGACCGUGGUGUCGCAAGGCCCCUCGUGGGCUCUUUCGCCUCCUCCGUUCACGGACGCGGGCUUUCUGCGGCAGGAGUUUCCGUUGCAUUCUGCUGACGCACAGACUCACUCUGUGGUCGCGCGGACGAUGGACUCUGUUGGUCGCGUCUGGUACCCGUUUCGGAG